CGCCAAGUAGAGGUAAGUCAUGAACUAUAGCUCUAAGUAAUAAGUAGUCCCAUUUUAUGUCAAUGCUAUUAUAAAUCCGUCCCUGACACAUUAUUACAUAUCUAUUAUAUAUUUAUCGAAGUGUAAAAGUUAAAUCUAGCCUACCACAUAUUGCUCGAUUGAAAUAAGGUUAACCGUGCUCGGGGCUUUGUGAACCUCGGGCCCGCCACGGCCUCUCUCACCUCACUCUCCAAACACCAAAGGGCCCUUGCCCCCUUUUCGAAAAGUUCAAUGUCAUUUUAGAAAUUCAUCUAACUGAUCGAUAACGCUAACAAUUAUGUAUGUUAUUGUAAAUGGUUUUUCACGGGGAAAACACCGAUCGAUUUAUCGUCGUAACCUUCUGUCACCAUAACCGUAAAGUCGAAAGCCAUAAGCGUAAUACCGCAUGAAUAUAGGCCUACAGAUCGGUACAUUUGUGGAACGUUCUUGCUGCAUGUAUUCACGCCACCGCACUUAAUGAGGGUCAUAUCUGAAGCAAUGCUGCUGCUGGAGGUGUUUUAACGACUGCAUUAGCUCACUCUCUUGCUAGUGGCUACUGACGUUUAUGUAUAAAUUAUGUUAGUAGCCUACACGGUUCGGUAUGCGCUGUACACAAUCGUGGUUGGUUCAACUUUUCAGUGUUGAACCGUGAUUUUUACCGAAUUAUUCAGUGUCUUUAUCGACUUCCAAUGCAAGUAAUGUUGUUGUAAAUGUAAACUUAAUGAGACACCGUGAUAGGAGCGUACAACUCAUGCCGUUUUAUUCUCUUUUCACAAUUUUUUCUCAAUACGUCGUCACUCACACACUUAAUUUCUUGUACCAGAAUUCAAAAUUGCAUGCGUAUGCUUCAGACCCAAGCAGUGGUCCAAUCUAUGUAUGUGGUAAAGACUCCAUUAAUUAAAUAAUAAAUUGAAUAUGUUUCAUUACAGAGACUCAUAGAGAGAUUAUCGAACAGCGACGAUGGACAGGAAGACAUUGUUUUCUUUGUGGGCUCAACUGACCCCUGCUUCCAUCAUGAUGGAGGACAGGGAGUCAUACACCGAGGAGACCAGGCUCGUCCCCGCCCCCCCUACUGAGGCCAAGCCCCCGGGCCUUAACCCCCGCUACCCUCGUGGGGCUAGGCUGCCCUGGUUGGCUGCCCCAGCUGGUGGCAGCAACGAGAGGGUCGUCCUCCGCCCCCCUACUGAGGCCAAGCCCCCGGGCCUUAACCCCCGCUACCCUCGUGGGGCUAGGCUGCCCCGGUUGGCUGUGGCUGAGGAGGCUGACGGCCAGGAAGCCUGGAUCCAGGCGGCCCACUCCGACACCGUGUCCCUCUGUGCACGGGCUCAGGGUGCCGCCUCGAGCCAGGAGACUUCCCCGGGCCGAACCCCCCCAGAAGUGGCUGACCCUGACCACCAUCGUGGGUCUAGGCUCCCCUGGUUGGCCGCCCCAGCCGCUGGCGCCAGCGACAGGAUCGUCCUCCGCCCCCCUACUGACGCCAAGCCCCCGGGCCUUAACCCCCGCUACCCUCGUGGGUCUAGGCUGCCCCGGUUGGCUGCCCCAGCCGCUGGUGCCAACGAGAGGACCGUCCUCCGCCCCCCUACUGAGGCCAAGCCCCCGGGCCUUAACCCCUGCUACCCUCGCGGGUCUAGGCUGCCCCGGUUGGCUGCCCCAGCCGCUGGCGCCAACGAGAGGGUUGUCCUCAUCCCUACUGAGGCCCAGCCCCCGGGCCUUAACCCCCGCUACCCUCGUGGGUCUAGGCUGCCCCGGUUGGCUGCCCCAGCUGGUGGCAGCAACGAGAGGAUCGUCCUCCGCCCCCCUACUGAGGCCAAGCCCCCGGGCCUUAACCCCCGCUACCCUAGUGGGUCUAGGCUGCCCCGGUUGGCUGUGGCUGAGGAGGCUGACGGCCAGGAAGCCUGGAUCCAGGCGGCCCACUCCGACACCAUGUCCCUCCGUGCACGGGCUCUGGGUGCCGCCUCGAGCCAGGAGACUUCCCCGGGCCGAACCCCCCCAGAAGUGGCUGACCCUGACCACCAUCGUGGGGCUAGGCUGCCCCGGUUGGCUGUCCCAGCCGCUGGCGCCAACGACAGGAUCGUCCUCUGCCCUACUGAGGCCAAGCCCCCACAUAGACCCCCAGUGUCCUUCACAGUGGAUCUGCGGGACGCCCCGUUGAGCUCCGCCUCCUCGUCCCGGAACGCCGCUGCCUCCGCCCGCCGCCGGGCGCACGGUGGCGCCGAGGCGGACCUCUCUGGGACGGAGCGCUCCCAGUCCGCCAACGGCCAGAGGUCCCAGGCCCCAGGCAGGAUCGUCCUCCGCCCCCCUACUGAGGCCAAGCCCCCGGGCCUUAACCCCCGCUACCCUCGUGGGUCUAGGCUGCCCCGGUUGGCUGUGGCUGAGGAGGCUGACGGCCAGGAAGCCUGGAUCCAGGCGGCCCACUCCGACACCGUGUCCCUCUGUGCACGGGCUCUGGGUGCCGCCUCGAGCCAGGAGACUUCUCCGGGCCAAACCCCCACAGAAGUGGCUGACCCUGACCACCCUCGUGGGGCUAGGCUGCCCCGGUUGGCUGCCCCAGCCGCUGGCGCCAACGACAGGAUCGUCCUCCGCCCUACUGAGGCCAAGCCCCCACAUAGACCCCCAGUGUCCUUCACAGUGGAUCUGCGGGACGCCCCGCUGAGCUCCGCCCCCUCGUCCCGGAACGCCGCUGCCUCCGCCCGCCGCCGGGUGCCCAGAGAGGUCCGCCUCCGUCCCGAGGCGGACCUCUCUGGGACGGAGCGCUCCCAGUUCGCCAACGGCCAGAGGUCCCAGGCCCCAGGCAGCCCGCCGGCCUCUGACGUUCCUGAAGGCGUGGCGGGCAGAGGUAAGUACGCGUUGAGCCCGUUUCCCCCUGUGCAGGAGCGUCUGAGGAACGGCAGGAUCCCCCGGGAGAAGCUCCGGGGCCCGCCCCCCCACCAGGCAGGGGAAGAGGCCGGGCCCUCUGGGAAGAGGCAGAAGAACGGGGGCCGCUGUUUCCCCGACCAGAGGUUGACCGCUGAGCCCGAGCUGGAGGAGAAGCUGUUGGAUAGCAGAGAUGAGCCGGCCCAGGGCUCCCUCAGCGGCCCCCAGCGAGACCCACCCGGGCCCCACCCCUUCCCCAAACCUGAGCUGGCCAUGACACAGAGCCUCACUCUCAUCAGCUCAGAGAACUGGUGA
This is a long non-coding RNA of Gadus morhua (Atlantic cod), 3186 nucleotides long. The record is from Ensembl. Lineage: Eukaryota; Metazoa; Chordata; Actinopteri; Gadiformes; Gadidae.